UACGAAGGGUGCAAGCGUUAGUCGGAAUUACUGGGCGUAAAGCGUGCGUAGGCGGUUUCUUAAGUCGGAUGUGAAAGCCCUGGGCUCAACCUGGGAAUGGCACUCGAUACUGGGAGGCUGGAGUACGGUAGAGGAAGGUGGAAUUCCCGGUGUAGCGGUGAAAUGCGUAGAGAUCGGGAGGAACAUCAGUGGCGAAGGCGGCCUUCUGGACCAGUACUGACGCUGAGGCACGAAAGCGUGGGGAGCAAACAGG
This 253-nucleotide ribosomal RNA is filed under the name uncultured bacterium. RNAcentral describes it as "partial 16S ribosomal RNA". It matches the Rfam family "Bacterial small subunit ribosomal RNA", at positions 524 to 776 of the family's 1533-position model. The record is from RNAcentral.